This is a long non-coding RNA of Amphiprion ocellaris (clown anemonefish), 1090 nucleotides long. The record is from Ensembl. NCBI's taxonomy places the organism in Eukaryota, Metazoa, Chordata, Actinopteri, Pomacentridae.
AGAAUUAUAGACAAACUUUAACAAAAGCUGCCUGAGAGUUUACAGGUUUUUAUGUUAGAUUUCUUCAGUAAUUUAAUGAGAGUUAUCAGCAAAAAUCAAGUGUUCAUUUGAUGAACUUGAUUUCCUAAAACAUCCAGAAUUGAAGCUCAUAUCUUUGGCAGCUGUAAAGUUUCUGCUCCUUCAAAGUUCACAACACAAUGAAUGAAUUCCUAAAACACUCUCAAUGCUGGAGAGCGUUUGUGAUGCUGAAGCAGUGAUCAGUUUUUCUGUUUCUUCUCUGGAGAUGCACAAUGAGGGACGUCUGCAGAGACUGAGAAAGAGUCUCACCACAUCCUGACAUGAGGAAAAAGACUUUAUUGAAGACUACAAUGAGAAAAACUAUCAGACAGCAGACGGCUGCAUUCAAGAAGACCAUCAAACAUCCACAUCAGCUGAUGGAGGUCCAAGAGUCUCACCAAACAAACAACCUACAGAGUGAAGACCUCCAAUCUGAUUGGACGGCCUCCUAUUCAGCCACAUGUGUGAACAAAUGCCUCUAAGCUGAUUUGUUUUCUAAAAUAAAUCUAGUUUGAGUCCUAAUCUAUGCCUGUGUGUUUGCUUCUUUAUGCUGCUGUUAACAGUUUAGGCUGUUAGAUUGUUCCAGAUAAGACAAGUACAAGAUUCUUCAGAGCCGUUCUACCACGAGCCUGACAGGAAGAACUCCAACAGCUACUGAAUGUUCCUGUGGUCCCCUCAAGGCUACAGGAGGAGCCCUACGAGGACGAGCCGGUCCACCUGAUGGAGGCCAGUCGCUGCGGUUCAAAGGCAACACCGACUACGUGGACUUCUACUGGACCACACGGAGGCCUUCAAACCGGACCAACAAGUUCAGCGACUCCCCGACUCGUGGGUCUGAGGACGCUGCCGAGCCUCGGUCCAGCCGGCCUCCUGUCUGUGGGUGUUUGAGUGCUGAGAGGUUUGUGGAUGCAUGUGAACGUGUCUGUGUUGAAACAGCAGCUUUGGACUCACUAACGCUGGGAAAAACCAAGAGCUCCUUUAUUUGUGACUUCCACUAAAAAACUGAUGAAAAUAAGUUUGCCAGGGUUCUGAC